RNAcentral lists this unclassified non-coding RNA (378 nucleotides) under plant metagenome. RNAcentral's name for it is "partial contains 5.8S ribosomal RNA, internal transcribed spacer 2, and large subunit ribosomal RNA". The stretch from base 1 to 105 matches the Rfam family "5.8S ribosomal RNA", at positions 50 to 154 of the family's 154-position model. The record is from RNAcentral.
GAAAUGCGAUAAGUAAUGUGAAUUGCAGAAUUCAGUGAAUCAUCGAAUCUUUGAACGCAGCUUGCGCUCCUUGGUAUUCCUUGGAGCAUGCCUGUUUGAGUAUCAUGAAAUCUUCAAAGUAAAUCUUUUGUUAACUCAAUUGGUUUCUACUUUGGUAUUGGAGGUCUUUGCAGCUUCACACCUGCUCCUCUUUGUUCAUUAGCUGGAUCUCAGUGUUAUGCUUGGUUCCACUCGGCGUGAUAAGUUAUCUAUCGCUGAGGACACUGUAAAAGGUGGCCAAGGUAAAUGCAGAUGAACCACUUCUAAUAGUCCAUUGACUUGGACAAUACUUUUAUGAUCUGAUCUCAAAUCAGGUAGGACUACCCGCUGAACUUAAGC